This 912-nucleotide ribosomal RNA is filed under the name uncultured archaeon. Its description in RNAcentral is "bacterial SSU rRNA". It matches the Rfam family "Archaeal small subunit ribosomal RNA", at positions 1 to 922 of the family's 1478-position model. The record is from RNAcentral.
UCUGGUUGAUCCUGCCGGACCUGACUGCUAUCGGAUUGGUACUAAGCCAUGCGAGUCAUUGUAGCAAUACAAGGCGGACGGCUCAGUAACACGUAGUCAACCUAACUCGUGGACGUGGAUAACCUCGGGAAACUGAGAAUAAACCACGAUAGAUCAUAAUGCCUGGAAUGGCUUAUGGUCCAAACAGUUUACUGCCAUGGGAUGGGACUGCGGCCUAUCAGCUUGUUGGUGAGGUAAUGGCCCACCAAGGCGAUUACAGGUACGGGCUCUGAGAGGAGAAGCCCGGAGAUGGGUACUGAGACACGGACCCAGGCCCUAUGGGGCGCAGCAGGCGAGAAACCUUAGCAAUGUGCGAAAGCACGACUGGGUCAGUCCGAGUGAUUCCUGAUAAAGGAGUCUUUUGCUUGUCCUAAAAGCACAGGUGAAUAAGGGGUGGGCAAGUCUGGUGUCAGCCGCCGCGGUAAUACCAGCACCUCGAGUGGUCAGGACGUUUAUUGGGCCUAAAGCAUCCGUAGCCGGCUUUGCAAGUCUUCGGUUAAAUCCACCUGCUCAACAGAUGGGCCGCUGGAGAUACUACAAAGCUAGGGAGUGGGAGAGGCAGACGGUAUUCAGUGGGUAGGGGUAAAAUCCUCUGAUCCAUUGAGGACCACCAGUGGCGAAGGCGGUCUGCCAGAACACGUUCGACGGUGAGGGAUGAAAGCUGGGGGAGCAAACCGGAUUAGAUACCCGGGUAGUCCCAGCUGUAAACGAUGCAAACUCGGUGAUGCAUUGGCUUAUGGCCAAUGCAGUGCCGCAGGGAAGCCGUUAAGUUUGCCGCCUGGGAAGUACGGACGCAAGUCUGAAACUUAAAGGAAUUGGCGGGGGAGCACCACAAGGGGUGAAGCCUGCGGUUCAAUUGGACUCAACGCCGGA